Molecule: ribosomal RNA, 200 nt
Filed under: uncultured bacterium
Lineage: Bacteria
Description: partial 16S ribosomal RNA
Rfam family: Bacterial small subunit ribosomal RNA
Source: RNAcentral
UACGGAGGGUGCAAGCGUUGUCCGGAUUUAUUGGGUUUAAAGGGUACGUAGGCGGAUUUUUAAGUCCGUGGUGAAAGCCUACAGCUUAACUGUAGAACUGCCAUGGAUACUGGAAAUCUUGAAUUCAGUUGAGGUAAGCGGAAUUUAUGAUGUAGCGGUGAAAUGCAUAGAUAUCAUAAAGAACACCAAUUGCGAAGGCA